UACGUAGGGUGCAAGCGUUGUUCGGAAUUACUGGGCGUAAAGCGCGCGUAGGCGGGUUUGCAAGUCGAUUGUGAAAUCCCUGGGCUCAACCCGGGAAUUGCAGUCGAAACUGUAAAUCUUGAGUGCCUGAGAGGAUGGCGGAAUUCCCGGUGUAGUAGUGAAAUACGUAGAUAUCGGGAAGAACACCUGAGGCGAAGGCGGCUAUCUGGCGGUGCACUGACGCUAAGGCGCGAAAGCGUGGGGAGCAAACAGG
RNAcentral lists this ribosomal RNA (253 nucleotides) under uncultured bacterium. RNAcentral's name for it is "partial 16S ribosomal RNA". It matches the Rfam family "Bacterial small subunit ribosomal RNA", at positions 524 to 776 of the family's 1533-position model. The record is from RNAcentral.